RNAcentral lists this ribosomal RNA (484 nucleotides) under uncultured bacterium. RNAcentral describes it as "partial 16S ribosomal RNA". It matches the Rfam family "Bacterial small subunit ribosomal RNA", at positions 29 to 523 of the family's 1533-position model. The record is from RNAcentral.
AAUGAACGUUGGCGGCGUGGAUUAGGCAUGCAAGUCGUACGGACCGUGGUAGCAAUAUUACGGUUAGUGGCGCAAGGGAGAGUAAUACGUAGGUAUUUACUCUGGGGUCUGGGAUAGCGGCGGGAAACUGCAGGUAAUACCAGAUGAUUUCUCCGGAUCAAAGGCGUGAUUCCGCCCUAGGAGAAACCUGCGGUCUAUCAGCUAGUUGGUAGGGUAACGGCCUACCAAGGCAAAGACGGAUAUGGGGCGUCAGAGCGUGCCCCCACUCACUGGGACUGAGACACUGCCCAGACACCUGCGGGUGGCUGCAGUCGAGAAUCUUCGGCAAUGGGCGCAAGCCUGACCGAGCGACGCCGCGUGCGGGAUGAAGGCCUUCGGGUUGUAAACCGCUGUCGAAGGGGAGGAAAUUGUAGUGGGUUCACCCAUUAUAUUGACCGAUCCUUGGAGGAAGGGCCGGCUAAUCUCGUGCCAGCCGCCGCGGUAA